Molecule: ribosomal RNA, 555 nt
Filed under: uncultured bacterium
Lineage: Bacteria
Description: partial 16S ribosomal RNA
Rfam family: Bacterial small subunit ribosomal RNA
Source: RNAcentral
UAGGGAAUCUUCCACAAUGGACGCAAGUCUGAUGGAGCAACGCCGCGUGAGUGAAGAAGGUUUUCGGACCGUAAAGCUCUGUUGUUGGUGAAGAAGGAUAGAGGUAGUAACUGGCCUUUAUUUGACGGUAAUCAACCAGAAAGUCACGGCUAACUACGUGCCAGCAGCCGCGGUAAUACGUAGGUGGCAAGCGUUGUCCGGAUUUAUUGGGCGCAAAGCGAGCGCAGGCGGAAGAAUAAGUCUGAUGUGAAAGCCCUCGGCUUAACCGAGGAAUUGCAUCGGAAACUGUUUUUCUUGAGUGCAGAAGAGGAGAGUAGAACUCCAUGUGUAGCGGUGGAAUGCGUAGAUAUAUGGAAGAAUACCAGUGGCGAAGGCGGCUCUCUGGUCUGCAACUGACGCUGAGGCUCGAAAGCAUGGGUAGCGAACAGGAUUAGAUACCCUGGUAGUCCAUGCCGUAAACGAUGAGUGCUAAGUGUUGGGAGGCUUCCGCCUCUCAGUGCUGCAGCUAACGCAUUAAGCACUCCGCCUGGGGGAGUACGACCGCAAGGUUGAAAC